Long non-coding RNA from Poecilia latipinna (sailfin molly), 1379 nucleotides. RefSeq lists it as uncharacterized. Lineage: Eukaryota; Metazoa; Chordata; Actinopteri; Cyprinodontiformes; Poeciliidae. The transcript has 2 exons. The record is from RefSeq and is a predicted model, not a curated record.
CUAACUCCUAUGUGGGUAUAAGACGACACAUGAAGACAUUUCUAAACCUUUUGAAAAACAAAUGGUAAAAUUGUGUCCUGCCUCUUCAGUAACAAAAACAUUUAGGUUUUAUGUUUCAGAUUUGCCCUGUGAGCUAACAUUUAGGUCAGCUAGUUGGUUGACUUGACCAUUCCAGCAUGGAGUUGAUUUUUUAAAAAAAUCCUGAAAUAAACUGGUGAGAUAACGUCAUAUGAAAUCACUCACAUGAUUCUUUUCCAUCUAACCAGAGGUAGUUUCUGGUUUGGACUUUGGUUUGGUUUUUGAUCCAUAAUAAACUCAAAAGGUUUGUGCUUCCAAUCUAAUAAAAUGCUUGAUUAGAAGUAAAGUUGACUGUCCAGAUGUUUUAUAUCACCUAUAACAAAGUUUAAGUAGGUCAGUACAUUGCUAGGAUCUGUUGUCACAACUAGUUAUUUCAGACUAAGUUCUGUUCAGUUAAACAUCACUUUUAUGUGAUGUUUAGCAAUGUUGCUCUGAAAGUUGUGCUUAACUUUUGCUUUUCAAAGGACUGCCACAGAAAAUCAUUAAGUAAGUUGAUGAAAUAACAGAUUUGUAUGUUAUGGUAUUUCUUUUUUUUUCUUUUUUUUUUCAAAAAUAAAUGAAAUAGUAAAAUAGAUGUUUUCAGAGUGAAUUGUCUGGUUCCAAGUCAAAGGGUUAAAGUGCUGUGUAACUUUCACUGUGACUCACACAAGUUACUAUAAUUUAAAAAAUAAAAAUUGAAAGGUUAACAAAUCUACAAGUUAAAUUUAAUCAGUGUAACAUCAUAGCAAAUAUGAGGAGAUGUUGUCAGAAACAAGUUCAGCAAUGAUAUUAAAGCCUAAUUUCCAAGUGGAAAAUAAUUUAAACAGAACUAUGAAUAUUUUCUUUUUGAAAGUAUUCAUAACUUUAAAUGUUUUUUUAAAAAUAAUGUUUUUAAAUUUCUUUAAUAACUCCUUCGUUUAAAAGAUCUUUCAGAAAAGAUGUUCACCUUCCCGCAAGAAACCAACACAGCACAUGUUAGGUUGACAUCAAGUCAAAAUUUACAGGCUGUAACUGUCUGUUUGAGGUUCUUUACAGACCUCAAAAGAGAUUAUUCUCUUUUCUCGUUGGCUCUACCCUCUUUUGAUAACGACUUUUUGUUAUUAAAAUCGGCCAACUUAGAUUCUUUUCAAAUGUAUGUAAGGAACACGGCCGCAAAUUUUGAAGGACUGGACUUCAAGCUGAACAAGUGGCAAUCAGUUUGUGCAACAUGGGAUGCUGCAUCAGGUUUGGCCCAACUGUGGGUGGAUGGAAAGCCUUCAAGCAGGAAAUUUACCAGCUCUGGAUCCAAUAUCAAUGGACCAAUUAUUAUUGCUUUGGGACAG